CAGGUUAGAGCUUGAUAUAAGUAUUUUAUUUACAUUAAAAAGAUAAUUAGUUUAAUCUAUUUAACUUGA
Molecule: transfer RNA, 69 nt
Filed under: Cucujoidea sp. 38 KM-2017
Lineage: Eukaryota; Metazoa; Arthropoda; Insecta; Coleoptera
Description: tRNA-Val
Source: RNAcentral